Non-coding RNA from Peromyscus maniculatus bairdii (prairie deer mouse), 2846 nucleotides. Lineage: Eukaryota; Metazoa; Chordata; Mammalia; Rodentia; Cricetidae. The record is from RefSeq and is a predicted model, not a curated record.
UCGGUGGGAUCAAGAAAAGCAGCACACGUGAUUCUUACUGAGACCCACACGUCAGGGCUGUCACCUACGGCAGAGCCAGUGCUAGGCUAACAAAAGAUUGCUUAGCCUCGCGACUGCUAACGUUAGUGAUUUAAAAAAAAAGUCAGAUAUGAACAAGUGCCCCAAAGCAAAGUCUAGACAGUUCUUUCAGGUUUUCAUGUAGUUUAAUUAGACCCUGACUGGUAAAGGCAAGGAUUCAAAGUCUUCUGACCUCAAGGCCAUAUUUAUACAAAGCCCACACAAAAGCGGCACUCUGUCAAGAAUGGGUAUGUAACACUCUUUACUUUGGAUUUCCUGACAUCUGGUGAGAGACGUUUUGUGCUGACCCAUAACACAUACAUACAUACAACACACACACACACACACACACACACACACACACACACACACACACACCACCCCUCGAAGUCCAGCACUAGACACCUGACCCGUGUUGAAUAUCCAUGUCACCACUAUGCUGUCCCAACAUCCACUGGCCCUCAUGACUCUGCUCUCUACAGCUGGCUGUUUGUCCGCUGUUCUGGCCCAUAUUACCUGCUAAGUCAUUCUCUAGUCAUUGCUGCUUGCCCAUUUUUCACCAUGUUCUUGGAGCCUGUUCUGCCCUACAUAACCGGUUUCCCAUUUAAGGUCUUUGCCUCGUCCUCAGUGUGAACUUCGUAGCAGAAAGAGGAAUACACUGUGCCCGGCUGCUGGAGACAGACUGGGGAAGGAGGGCGCCCACUGUCGGGUCAAUGACUGCUUUGGGUAAACACUGUUUCACAACAAAUGGUAGAGUCCUGGUUUCCUCACAGCUCAGAAACCCAACUAGAGAACGAUCCUGCUUACUCACUCUCAGCAGAACGGACAGAACUCAGGGCAGAGCCCCCACGUAUGAUGUCGUGGACAUUGGGUAUUGGACAAAGUACAAGGGCUAAUGCCACGGUCAAAUACAGGGCAUGCUGGGCCCAACAGUUGGUCACACUUCUGCUGUGGUUGUCAGAGCUUGUUUUUCUGAGUACCAUGGAUCAAAAUCUUGACGUUUUAAUGUUCUACAUGCCAGCCUCCCUGGACCUUUUUGUGAUUUAUGAAUUGCCAUCUCCCAAAGUGAGAUUUCCAUGGUGCAUUUAUCUCUGGGGUCUUCAUCACAACCCCCCCCCCCCUCUGAGACAGGGUUUCUCUGCAUAGCCCUGGCUGUCCUGGAACUCACUCUGUAUAGAUCAGGCUGGCCUCAAACUCACAGAGAUUCACCUGCCUCUGCCUCCUGAAAGCAGGGAUCAAAGGCAUUUGCCACCACCUCCUGGCCAUCACAGUAUCUUGUAAGGGACAUUGUGGAACUCUGCAAGAAGAGGGGUGAGGGCUGGUACAUUGGCAAGGGCAAGGAGGGCCUUGCAUCAGUCUGCACAGAGAAGAAAAUACUAGGAGAUAGGCUGGCCUCUGCAGAGCCAACAUGCAGUUCAGCCCGCAGGCCUUAAGAAGAAGGAUACCUUCCAAAGCCAGAGCUGGGAGCAACACAGUAUCCUUGGAGGGAACAUUGGCAGUAACACUCCAAAGCAACAGACCGGAAUCAGAACUUUGCUGGACUCACCGCAGUGAGGGGUCAUUUGGUCCAUAGGUGUACAAAAAUCCGUGAGCAGAGGACUUCUGGGAACAGAUGUUGGACAUUGAUGCAGCUAUGAGAUGAGCACUCAGAGAGAACAAGACUGUUUUAUUCUAUUUCUGUGAAGAACAUAUUUGCAGUUUUGAUGGAGACUGGACUGAAUUUAUAUGUGGCUUUUGGUAAUAUAAGCCAUUGUCAUAAUACUGACUCUGCCAGCCGUUUGCACAGAGGAGGCAGAUGUCCUACAUACAUUCUCCAGAUUCUUUCUCCGAGAUGGUAAUACAGGAGCAAAUGUUGUAUCAAGAAUGCUGCCCUACAAAAACAGAAAACAGAAGUGGAAGGUACCACUCAAGGAUGCAGUCUCUGGAGAGUGUCAGCCUUGGUGUGAUCUGGAGAUUGCAGAUUGCACCUCAGAGCAAAUAGCUUCCAGACACCAGCCCCAUCAGUCAUUGGCUACAGGGAGAGGUGAAUUCCCAAGCACUUCCAAGUCUCACCAAGCUUAGAUUUAUACUGCGUCCUGGAGUCAGAAAUGGAGAGAGAGGAGGCAGCUGUGAUCUGAGAAGAACAUGGAAUUAGCGGAGUUUAAAAGAUAGAGACCGUCACAGAAAUCCACAACUGGUCAAAAUGCAAAGAAUAAGUAACUGUGAGGAUCCCAACCCCAAGUGAUACAUCUAUGACAAAACCUCUGCACCUAACCGUCAGGGGACAUGACGAAGGACUGUAAGAGAUGGAGGACCAGAACAUCUACUGAGAGGUAGUGUCUUCUACAUAUGACGAGAAAGCUACAUCUAUGAAAUGCUAACAAUAUGGUCACCUAAAAAAGACCUAUACAGUAAAAUCCCAACACGGAUGUGGGAAAAUCUCACAAGGCCUCACUCCUAGAAGAGCUGCAGGCAAAUAAUGACUGCUAAAAGAGAGAGAAUCAGAUUUCUCCAGGGACAAGCUGCCUAAGAGGUUGUCCAAUCCCAAUUUGUCAUCACUAAAUAAAUAUGCAUAUGAAUAGCACUAAAUGGACUCAGUAGGAUCUAUCUGUUUGUCUGUCUCUCUCUCUAUCCAUCUAUCUACCCAUCUACCUACCUACCUAUCUAUCUACCUCUCUAUUUAGCUAACUACCUAACUGCAGCAUUAAUAAUCAAACAAGAGGUCAUUAAGUUGAGAGGGGAUAGGAGAGGAGCUGGUGGGGGGAAGGGUGAAUGGAAAUGUUAUAAACAUAUUUCGUGUAUGAAAUUCU